AGACUGAGUGUUUGGAUCCUAGUCAGAAAUAAUGGAUCCCGAUAAGGUCAAGUGUCUUCCUGUUACCUUGUGAACUAGCAUGUUACAAAAAUCCUGCUCAGCAUGUCAGUCUACAAAUAUAAAAAAGAAGAUGUGAUAUGAUUGCCAAUGAGACAACUCUCAACAAGAGACCAAAAUGACACAGAAGUUAACGACUAUAGGUCACCGUACGGCCUUCAACAAUGAGCAAAGCCCAUACUGGCCCGCAAAGUCAGCUUUAAAAGGCCCCGAAAUGACAAUGUUAAACAAUUCAAACGAGAAAACUAACAGCCUCAUUUACAGUACAUAAAAAAAAAAAUGAACGAAAAACAAAUAUAUGUAACACAUAAACAAACGACAACCACUGAAUUACAGGCUCCUGAUAAAGCAGGGAUAAUAUUCAUGUAUACACUUACAUGUUCUUGUCCUGAAUAUGAAUAUUGAUUUGAAGUUGAAAGUUAAGCAGCC
Molecule: long non-coding RNA, 486 nt
Filed under: Mytilus galloprovincialis (Mediterranean mussel)
Lineage: Eukaryota; Metazoa; Mollusca; Bivalvia; Mytilida; Mytilidae
Source: RNAcentral